UACGGGAGGCAGCAGUAGGGAAUCUUCCGCAAUGGACGAAAGUCUGACGGAGCAACGCCGCGUGAGCGAUGAAGGCCUUCGGGUCGUAAAGCUCUGUUGUUAGGGAAGAACAAGUGCCGAGUAACUAUCGGCACCUUGACGGUACCUAACCAGAAAGCCACGGCUAACUACGUGCCAGCGACCGCGGUAAU
RNAcentral lists this ribosomal RNA (191 nucleotides) under uncultured Bacillus sp. RNAcentral's name for it is "partial 16S ribosomal RNA". It matches the Rfam family "Bacterial small subunit ribosomal RNA", at positions 340 to 524 of the family's 1533-position model. The record is from RNAcentral. Lineage: Bacteria; Bacillati; Bacillota; Bacilli; Caryophanales; Bacillaceae.